Molecule: ribosomal RNA, 587 nt
Filed under: uncultured bacterium
Lineage: Bacteria
Description: partial 16S ribosomal RNA
Rfam family: Bacterial small subunit ribosomal RNA
Source: RNAcentral
UAGGGAAUCUUCCACAAUGGGCGAAAGCCUGAUGGAGCAACGCCGCGUGAGUGAGGAAGGCUUUCGGGUCGUAAAGCUCUGUUGCCAGGGAAGAAUAAGGAUCAUUUAACUGAUGAUCCGAUGACGGUACCUGAGAAGAAAGCCCCGGCUAACUACGUGCCAGCAGCCGCGGUAAUACGUAGGGGGCAAGCGUUGUCCGGAAUUAUUGGGCGUAAAGCGCGCGCAGGCGGCUCUUUAAGUCUGGUGUUUAAGUGCGGGGCUCAACCCCGUGACGCACUGGAAACUGGGGAGCUUGANUGCAGAAGAGGAGAGCGGAAUUCCACGUGUAGCGGUGAAAUGCGUAGAGAUGUGGAGGAACACCAGUGGCGAAGGCGGCUCUCUGGACUGUAACUGACGCUGAGGCGCGAAAGCGUGGGGAGCAAACAGGAUUAGAUACCCUGGUAGUCCACGCCGUAAACGAUGAGUGCUAGGUGUUGGGGGUAUCAUGCCCUCGGUGCCGAAGUUAACACAUUAAGCACUCCGCCUGGGGAGUACGGUCGCAAGACUGAAACUCAAAGGAAUUGACGGGGGUCAUGAGCUGUUUCCUG